Molecule: ribosomal RNA, 668 nt
Filed under: uncultured Caulobacteraceae bacterium
Lineage: Bacteria; Pseudomonadati; Pseudomonadota; Alphaproteobacteria; Caulobacterales; Caulobacteraceae
Description: bacterial SSU rRNA
Rfam family: Bacterial small subunit ribosomal RNA
Source: RNAcentral
GUGGCGGACGGGUGAGUAACACGUGGGAACGUGCCUUUAGGUUCGGAAUAAGCCCGGGAAACUGGGUCUAAUACCGGAUGUGCCCUUCGGGGGAAAGAUUUAUCGCCUUUAGAGCGGCCCGCGUCUGAUUAGCUAGUUGGUGGUGUAAUGGACCACCAAGGCGACGAUCAGUAGCUGGUCUGAGAGGAUGAUCAGCCACAUUGGGACUGAGACACGGCCCAAACUCCUACGGGAGGCAGCAGUGGGGAAUCUUGCGCAAUGGGCGAAAGCCUGACGCAGCCAUGCCGCGUGAAUGAUGAAGGUCUUAGGAUUGUAAAAUUCUUUCACCGGGGACGAUAAUGACGGUACCCGGAGAAGAAGCCCCGGCUAACUUCGUGCCAGCAGCCGCGGUAAUACGAAGGGGGCUAGCGUUGUUCGGAAUUACUGGGCGUAAAGGGCGCGUAGGCGGCGCUUCAAGUCAGAUGUGAAAGCCCUGGGCUUAACCUGGGAACUGCAUUUGAGACUGGAGUGCUUGAGGACCGGAGAGGUGGGUGGAAUUCCCAGUGUAGAGGUGAAAUUCGUAGAUAUUGGGAAGAACACCGGUGGCGAAGGCGGCCCACUGGACGGUUACUGACGCUGAGGCGCGAAAGCGUGGGGAGCAAACAGGAUUAGAUACCCUGGUAGUCCAC